RNAcentral lists this unclassified non-coding RNA (255 nucleotides) under Hevea brasiliensis (rubber tree). Lineage: Eukaryota; Viridiplantae; Streptophyta; Magnoliopsida; Malpighiales; Euphorbiaceae. The record is from RNAcentral.
GAUGAAGGGGUCGCCAUUGAUGGGUUGAACAACUUGGAAGGUGGUUGGCUUCUCUGCACUGACAGCUACGACUGUGAGGGAAGUUCUCCUCUUGGAGUGAAGGUCUCUGAGGGGUGUUCCCGAAAUGCCCCUGGGAGUGGCAAGGAGGGUCUUUGUGGUGGAGCUGAGCAGGCUGCUCCUCAGCUGGCUGGCUAUCGGAGCUGCUGAGGCUGUGGCCAUUGGGUACCAGUGGUUUCUGAGGAUGGCAGGAUGUGA